This 253-nucleotide ribosomal RNA is filed under the name uncultured bacterium. Its description in RNAcentral is "partial 16S ribosomal RNA". It matches the Rfam family "Bacterial small subunit ribosomal RNA", at positions 524 to 776 of the family's 1533-position model. The record is from RNAcentral.
UACGUAGGGUGCGAGCGUUAAUCGGAAUUACUGGGCGUAAAGCGUGCGCAGGCGGUUUUGUAAGCCAGAUGUGAAAGCCCCGGGCUUAACCUGGGAAUGGCAUUUGGGACUGCAAGGCUUGAGUGCGGCAGAGGAGACUGGAAUUCCUGGUGUAGCAGUGAAAUGCGUAGAUAUCAGGAGGAAUACCGAUGGCGAAGGCAGGUCUCUGGGCUGACACUGACGCUCAUGUACGAAAGCGUGGGGAGCAAACAGG